This 473-nucleotide ribosomal RNA is filed under the name uncultured organism. Its description in RNAcentral is "partial 16S ribosomal RNA". It matches the Rfam family "Bacterial small subunit ribosomal RNA", at positions 334 to 799 of the family's 1533-position model. The record is from RNAcentral.
CACUCCUGCGGGAGGCAGCAGUGGGAAUUUUGGACAAUGGGCGAAAGCCUGAUCCAGCAAUGCCGCGUGAGUGAAGAAGGCCUUCGGGUUGUAAAGCUCUUUUGUCAGGGAAGAAACGGUGAAAGCUAAUAUCUUUUGCUAAUGACGGUACCUGAAGAAUAAGCACCGGCUAACUACGUGCCAGCAGCCGCGGUAAUACGUAGGGUGCAAGCGUUAAUCGGAAUUACUGGGCGUAAAGCGUGCGCAGGCGGUUUUGUAAGUCUGAUGUGAAAUCCCCGGGCUCAACCUGGGAAUUGCAUUGGAGACUGCAAGGCUAGAAUCUGGCAGAGGGGGGUAGAAUUCCACGUGUAGCAGUGAAAUGCGUAGAUAUGUGGAGGAACACCGAUGGCGAAGGCAGCCCCCUGGGUCAAGAUUGACGCUCAUGCACGAAAGCGUGGGGAGCAAACAGGAUUAGAUACCCCUGUAGUCCCAUG